Molecule: long non-coding RNA, 391 nt
Organism: Macrobrachium nipponense
Lineage: Eukaryota; Metazoa; Arthropoda; Malacostraca; Decapoda; Palaemonidae
Exons: 3
Source: RefSeq, a predicted model, not a curated record
CAGAAGCACAGUGCACCAGUUUCCCCUGAGGAAAGUACACCAUGAAGAUUGCCGCAGUGAUCAUGAUGGCCAUCACUCUGGUCUGCUUCUUUGCAAACGCCGAGGCCAAUCCUGGUCCCUGGGGUUACGGGGACCACCAUGACCACAAAGGGCACCACUACCACGACCACAAGGGCUACCUCCAUCACAAGCACGACCACCACCAUCACCACUAUCAUCACCAUAAAUACGAAAAGCACGGCUACGGUCAUCACAGAAAGUGAGGUAACAUCCACCAAGUGAUCUCCAGCUACUUCUCCAUUUUUUUUCUAGUAAAGAAUGAGAUGUUUAACAAUUUAUUCCAUAAUGGAGAACGAGAUUGGAGGCACACUGCAACUUUCAAGUUGACAUU